UGCAGCUGUCUAUAAGGACAUUAGUGAUAUCUGCAGCUGUCUAUAAGGACAUUAGUGAUAUCUGCAGCUGUCUAUAAGGACAUUAGCGAUAUCUGCAGCGUCUAUAAGGACAUUAGCGAUAUCUGCAGCUGUCUAUAAGGACAUUAGCGAUAUCUGCAGCUGUCUAUAAGGACAUUGGUGAUAUCUGCAGCUGUCUAUAAGGACAUUAGCGAUAUCUGCAGCUGUCUAUAAGGACAUUAGUGAUAUCUGCAGCUGUCUAUAAGGACAUUAGCGAUAUCUGCAGCUGUCUAUAAGGACGUGGGAUUUUGUUCUGUUACAAAAAGAAAUGAGCGACAGUUUAACGUCAGUCUACUCCGACUGACCGUUGAACUCCUCUUCAGAAGACCCUCGUUCUCGUUAUUCUAAACCUUUCACUGUUCUCUCUCUACCCAGUCAGUGCCCUGCCUAGCUUAAUAAACCAGACCACUUCUUGGUAUACAGUCUGAAUCAAAGCACUGCAAAAAAAACUUGGAAAUGUUUCCUUUACAAGCCAGAAUGUUGAAUAAAAUGAACAUUUGAACUUCCUUUA
Molecule: non-coding RNA, 568 nt
Organism: Salvelinus sp. IW2-2015
Lineage: Eukaryota; Metazoa; Chordata; Actinopteri; Salmoniformes; Salmonidae
Source: RefSeq, a predicted model, not a curated record